RNAcentral lists this long non-coding RNA (611 nucleotides) under Homo sapiens (human). Its description in RNAcentral is "HSALNT0376296". The record is from RNAcentral. Lineage: Eukaryota; Metazoa; Chordata; Mammalia; Primates; Hominidae.
GGGCAACGGGGUGGUUCUAGUGCAGACUGUAGCUGCAGCUCCUCUCCACCUCUAGCCUGCUCAUUUCCAGCUCAGAAAUUCUACUAAUGGCGUUUUUUCUUCCUGAAAAAGGAAAUGAACAGGGCUCUGGCAAGGGGUGCCGCAGUGACUUGCAGCUGCAGGGGCUCCAGUAGCCUUUAGCAGUUCCAGCAACCGCAUCGGUGUCAGGCAGUGGCCAGCUCCAGCAGCAUCAGCAGCUUCCUGCACUGUCAGAUGCCAGACACUCCUGGGCUCUGAUAACAUCACCCCCUCCCUGGUAUUCCUCCUGCCUUUCAAGUGGUAGUGAUUUCCUGCAGAUACUUAUCUCUAGGUCCCUGCUGAUUCUCCAAAUAUGUGUCUAAUCUGUUUACUGAGUUCCAUAGCACUUGGAGCCAUCCAUGCAAAAAUCUGUAGAAGAGCAUUCCAGGAAGAGGGAAGAGCAAAUGCAAAGACGGGCGUGAGAGCUUGGUGCAUACAGCCAUGGGCCAAAUAAAGUUUCCUUGGAAUAGCCAUGCCUGUUCUUUCACAUGUCAUCUGUGGCUACUUUCACACUUGCAUGACCCUGAGAGUGACUGAUUGCCUUAAACUUUGUU